AGAGUUUGAUCCUGGCUCAGGAUGAACGCUGGCGGUAUGCCUAACACAUGCAAGUCGAACGAUGUCUUCGGACAUAGUGGCGGACGGGUGAGUAACGCGUGAGAAUCUGCCUCUAGGAUGGGGAUAACGGUUGGAAACGACCGCUAACACCCAAUAUGCCGUAAGGUGAAAAAUUUAUUGCCUGGAGAGGAGCUCGCGUCUGAUUAGCUAGUUGGUGGGGUAAGAGCUCACCAAGGCCUCGAUCAGUAGCUGGUCUGAGAGGAUGAGCAGCCACACUGGGACUGAGACACGGCCCAGACUCCUACGGGAGGCAGCAGUGGGGAAUUUUCCGCAAUGGGCGAAAGCCUGACGGAGCAAUACCGCGUGAGGGAGGAAUGCCUUUGGGUUGUAAACCUCUUUUCUCAGGGAAGAAGAUCUGACGGUACCUGAGGAAUAAGUAUCGGCUAACUCCGUGCCAGCAGCCGCGGUAAUACGGAGGAUGCAAGCGUUAUCCGGAAUCAUUGGGCGUAAAGCGUCCGCAGGUGGUUUCCAAAGUCUGCUGUUAAAGACUGGAGCUCAACUCCGGAACGGCGGUGGAAACUUGGAAACUAGAGUUCGGUAGGGGUAGCAGGAAUUCCCAGUGUAGCGGUGAAAUGCGUAGAUAUUGGGAAGAACAUCGGUGGCGAAGGCGUGCUACUGGACCGUAACUGACACUCAGGGACGAAAGCUAGGGGAGCGAAAGGGAUUAGAUACCCCUGUAGUCCUA
Molecule: ribosomal RNA, 745 nt
Filed under: uncultured marine microorganism
Description: bacterial SSU rRNA
Rfam family: Bacterial small subunit ribosomal RNA
Source: RNAcentral